AAAAACAAUCACGAUUGUUUUUGGAAAAGGAAGAAAGCAAUAUCGUUGUUUCUUCACUACCGAAACAAAACUCCAAAAUUCAGUAACCUAUUAAUUUGAGUCUGUGUGGACGAACUAGAGGCCUGACGUGUGGAAGGCUUAUUGCUGGAAUUCAAACAUCUACAUCAGGCAUCGCAUAUUCGUCUAAACAAGUAAGUACUUAUUUGUUUUGAAAUAUGAAGGCCUGAAUCAAAUUGCAACUUCAAGCAAGAAGAACAAAACUAAACUGUUUGCUCAUUCCGCUGCGCAAAUAAUUUUCUUUCACAUGGCACAUACUUUUGCACAUCUUGAUUAAUCGCCAUAACCGUAGAUGUUUUCCGUGUAUUUUCCAUUAUGGAUAAAAACUAAAUUUAUGUGGAUAUUUUGAAAGCUUAUGAGAUUGUAUUAUUAUGCACAAGCACAGAGGGUUGAGACAUUUACCCAAAACAAAGUAUACCUUAGUUUUGUCAUCUUUACCAGCAUGGAGAACCUUCCCUCCCUCAGUUAUGGAGUCAGGAUCAUAGCUACUAGAGAAUCAAGCAGUUGGACUGUUUUUUUCCGGAACUGCUCUUCUGAUAUUUCGAGAUCAAAAUCUAUGGACCAAGACACCAGGCAAAGUAAAAUUUGAUGCAGCAAAUUUGCGAAAUGAUUUAAUUUGACAUUUAGUUGGAAAGUUAACAAAAGAUUACAAUAUAACGUUACACAUUGUUUAGCUCCUAAGGUCACCUGGUAAAGAAUUAGUCUUUCCAUUUUGGGCUAAACCAAACCACAUUUUUUAUUCAGACGACGUUUUUUAUUCACACACUAAUCAAAUAUCAAAGGAGGAUAACUUAGCAGAGUCUCUUGCACCAUGGUUGAGGUUCUCCAGACCACAUCUUUAUUGCCCGUUAGUCAUUGGCUAAUCCACCUAGCUUAGUAUUAUUGGUAGCACGACAGAAACAAUUUCAGGCAAAGUUUGACAGUUGCUGUUUUACAUCUAUCAUCAAGUUGCCAAGAGUUGCUGGAAUGGUCUUUUGGGCCCUAAAAACAUUCAUUUAAACCACAACAGAGUCUACUAUGCAAGGUAAUAUCCAGAAUGCACUAUUGGAUGAGCAAAUAUAAUCAAUUUAUUCCAUGAAACAGAAAAUGCUAGAGAAGUAACCUUGAAAUACUGACAUUUUAUAUGGACCUCAAUAACCACAUACUUACAUAUAUAUUUACGGAUAUUUUUGUCUUACAAGCAGUGUGUGGAGAAAACAAACCAAAAUUAAGGAUGAGACCAACGCAAAUCAAGAAAACAAACCAAAAUCUAGGAUAAGUCUAUGGUAAUAGAACGUUUACAAAUGCAACAGUGAAGAGACUCAAUCCCAUGUGCACUUGAUCUGGUGAGGGUGUUUGAAAUCAUAUGUCAUUAGCAAACUUCCAUCCAUUCUCUUAAACACAAAACUCUCAACCAAAACAAAACAUCCAAAUUCUCUCCACUCACCCUUUUCUCCAGAGUAUUCUAUCCGUUCCACCCUCACUUGCCUUUCGUUCCCACCUAGCCAUCCAGCUCUUUCUUGCUCCCAUUUCAUCCUUUGAACUAAUUCUAUGCUCAGACCAACUGUCGCUUCCUCUCCAGCUCUCCCAAAACUCUUAAACCAUAUUGUUCCUUCAACAACAUUUUUCUCAUCCCACACAGCUUUGUUGCCAGCAAUGUAGACAGCUUCUCGAUCAAUGGUGACAUCUAUGGACACAGACUUCGCCUCAUGAUAGAUAUUCUGUGUUGAAUAUACCUGCUCCCACUUUUGCUCCAGAGUCACCUGAUAAAACAUUGAUCUUUUCAUCUGAUCUUUCACUAUCCCAUCUUUGAUAAACAGAAAAGGGCUAUACCAUUUCCCUACUACAACAGCUUCAGAACUCUUAUACGAUGGUGGUACACUGAAUUCAGGAAGGCGGGCUCGUAGAGUAGCAUUGAGACCAGGAGCUUCGUCUAAUUUGUAGUGUUUUGGAGUUUUAGUGCGAACUGACCACCCUUUUCUUCUCAAGAAAUAGGGAGGAAAACCAUCAGGCGCAACAGAUUUAGCAUAAAAGUAACCCCUGCCAGCGCAAGGUGUUUCACGAACAAAAACCUCAAAUUGUUGGUAAAUGUUCUUUGGAUCAAAUGGCCUUGGUUUAAUAUCUUUAACACAACGACAGAAACAGCAGGUGGUCAUGUCUUCUUCCCUAGAACAAGCCACGGCUUGCCUGAAAUAAUGAGGAGGAGAUUAAUUAGGAAAUGCUCCGUGACAAACCAAUCAGAUUAAGGAACAAAUUAGUGGCAUACUGUAGGAAAGCAUUAACAUGCAAUUAUUAGUUCUUCAGGUUCUGGAUUGAGAACUUUUAGAUGUGAAGAUAGCUGUUUCAAGUUUUCUGCAGAGGCUAGAGCGUAAUACAAGUGAUGAAUGCAGUUAAGUCGCAAUUUGUCAACCAAAAUUGUUUUAUUAAAAUUGAUUUUGUUCAUCAAAAUUCUCUUCCUGCUGUAAAAUUAUGCUGACUUUGUUUUCUGGAACUUUGCAUCUCCUUUUAAACUUAGCCUGCUUGAAGACUAGUUGAAUUAUAUUCAGGCCACUCAAUUCCAAGGUUUCGAAGUGCAUGAUUCUGGUAUAGUUCUUUUCAGUUGAAGCUCAUUCUCUAUUUCAAAGAAGAAUCAGUUCCUAACCAGUCAUUUAAAACUGAACUAAAAAACAAGCUCAUCAAAACAUAAACAUAAGUUAAAACCAGAAGAAGGACCUUUUUGAUACAUACCCUUUGUGAUCAUUUAAAACUGAAGUAAAAAACAAGCUCAUCAAAACAUAAAUAUAAGUUAAACAAGAAGAAGGACCUUUUCGAUACAUACCCUUUGUGAUUUCCAUGUGGCUUGAUGACAUAGUAGCGAUUCGAAGACAAAGGAAGGUUGAGAACUGGAAUGAAGACAGCAUCAUUAAGGGAAACAUGUUGGCUCUCACCACUACUUUGUACGUAGCGAACUGUCAAGUCCUUGUUCUGAGGAAACGGCAGAUCCCUCAGGGUUCGAUUCUUGCACAAUCCAAAACAAGAAUAUGUCUCCGAUUCUUCAUCUUGAAUUACCAAGUAUCCGGAAUUUGGACCCUCCGGGGGUAAUGAAAGUGCAUCUGGAUUCUUUGUGUACUCAGAAAGUGGCCUUGCAACAUACAUAUUUCCCAAAUUUUCUUCCCCAGUCCUCCUGUGUUAGUCUAUUUAUUGAUGUUUACAGAUGUUUGACAAGUCGUAUUUGCAAAUACCAUAUCCCUCUCUGUCUCUAUAUGUAUAUCUACAAGAGGAUAAGGUGGGAACAUUUAGAAUCUUCAGUAUACAACCAAGGAAGUUUUUUUUUUUUUUUUUUUUUUUUGAAGGAACUAAGGAAGUUCACACUUGACAAAAUAAUAUCCUAAUGGCAAAGAUGGGUUAGAAAUCAACCAACCUGGAAAAGUUGAACAAGUUAGCUAGCCAGACAACAAGCUGACCAGUGCUGAAUCUGUUUGCAGAUACAAUUUCCUCGUUGAUUCCAGGAAAGUUACCCGGGAUCAGCUUAUAUUUGGAGCCAAAACCUUGAAAACAAGAAGUUUAUGCAGAUUCAAGUUUUACUGUUUUGCAGAUAAACAAUGUCCGGCAACAUUUGCUAAUUAUUUUUUGACAACGUCAAGAAAAUUAAACAGAUUAUCUUUUGUCAAACGUGUAGCCGUGUACUCGAGAAAAUUUGACGGACUCUAACAUGACGGCAACAGCCAGAUUUUAGCUAGUGUUACAGAAGAUAUUAAAAAAUUGUCAAGGUUAAGAUGUUAUAGUUUAUCUGCAUUCUUCUUUUACACGCAGGAAGCCAAGAAGUCUUUGCUAAUUAUUUUAAGGUUGACCCGUAACUGAUAUUUCUCGUAGCUGGUCGAGCCUCUGAACAAACAGACGAAAGAAACCACUACCAAGAAGGCUUGAACAAACAGUAAAAACUUCUAUUCCAGUCUCGUGUAAUUUUGGGCCUGGAUAUUUGGUUAUGUUCUUUUUUUAUCUGAGUACCCCUGUAGGGGUGGGCUGCUUUGGGUUCUAAGGUUAGACGGCAAUCAUGUUAUCAUUUAGGGGUGGGCUGCAAAACACCCAUUUGGCCUGUUGGGCCAUGUACAAAGUAGUUGGCGAGAAAAUAUCUAUGUAUAUCUACAUGUUUUUUGUCCAUUUUAUAUGGAAUCUCAUCCAACAGAACACAUAAUUGUGGAUUUCUGGGGACAGGAUCAUAUGUUUAUGCAUCUUGCUGAGAUUUAUGAUUUUUUAUGCCUGAUGAAAAUGACAAUUUUGGCAGUUUCUUUAUAUUUCAAAGUCGAAAGUCAUUGUCUGAUGAUCAAUUUCUUUCGUGCGUAGCGUGUUAGAACUUUUACAGGAUUGCCUCUUAGCUGCUACAUGCCACCUGAGUUCUGGGCUGCUUGAAGAAAUUAAACAAAAGAGGAUGUUGUUAGUAUGUUGGACUGGGAUAAUGCUAAUUUGACAGAAGAACUCAGCUGAAGAAAAACAUUUGUUAGGCAUGAAAAUGUACUGGAACUGAACUUAGUUAUUAUUCUAUUCAUAUACAUAAGAUUCACAAAGUUCAAAGAAAUAACACCAAAGCAAAAUCCCUUAGUUAUUUGUGUUCAUUUUUCUAGGAAAAAGGUAGACUGCAAGGCGAUACAGGAGAGACUGAAUUAGUAAAGAGGAAUACUAAGUAAAAACAGUACAUUCAUACAACAGAGUGGAGACAGUAGAUUCUCUAUUUACUAUUGAUUGACGACCAUUCUAUAGUCUUCUGUUAAAUUCUCCUUUUUCAAGAUUUGAAUAUAACAAUUUCUUCUUUCUUACUUGCGUUUGAUCUCCUACCAGAAUAUUGCUUGGAAAACCAUUUCCAAACCUUGUAGCUAUUAGUCCCCCUCUUUAGUCCUCCUCUGUCAUUCACAGCAAUUCUGCAAG
Molecule: long non-coding RNA, 4938 nt
Filed under: Coffea arabica (coffee)
Lineage: Eukaryota; Viridiplantae; Streptophyta; Magnoliopsida; Gentianales; Rubiaceae
Description: long non-coding RNA (CARA_LNC007609)
Source: RNAcentral